ACAACUCCUAAACACACAAGAUGCAUGUACUCGAAAGGCACUUGAGAAACCAUUCCUAUGGGUAGUUCUGACAAUGGACUCUUACCAUCUUUAUGAUGAUCCUCAUCUAAACAUGCAAUGUAUUCUUCAUUAGUUCGCAGGGAAUGAUUAACACCACAGAAAAUAUUACGUCCUUCACAUAUUACACCAGAAAUUUUACAUUUAGAGCAUGGAUGACUGGACAUAUGGCUUCGAUGAUUGAGAAUAAAAGCACGAGCUGGUGCAUCAGCUAUGAAGCAUCUUAAACGUAUAGGUAAUUUUUUUCUAUGAAAAGGCCUUUGUAUAUCCCUACCACUAUUGGUUUGGAAUGUCUAAUGUUCGCGAGUCUACACUGAAUUGGCCAAAUAUGAAUACUGCCUGAUUUGUCUAGAUUACAUCCGUCGGUAUUAAAGUCAAUGUCUAAUUCGCUUGGAAGAGAUAGUAUUGGAAAGCGCUCAAGUUCUCUGGAAAUGCGUGCUCCUAUAUCAAAAUGAAUGUAUUCGCCUGGAUCAACUUUACAUGUGACAAUUUUAUCUCGUGGAGUACCUACAAUUGUUCUCACAUCUUUCUGAGGCCAGUUUCUCUCGAAACGAUGGCUCAACCGAGGAAGUACUAACAGAAGACAAAGUAUUAUCAAAAGAAAGAACAUCAUUAUGAAGAAGAAUAUUGUCAUCUUCAACGUUUAUAGAACACGUACUAUCGCAAAUAUUAUUUUCCACACAAUUAGUAUGUUUUGUAUUUGACGCGCCCAACGUAUCUUCAGUAUUAAUAUUAUCUAAUUCUCUUAAAGUAUUCUUUAUAUACAAACUUUUACUUUGCAAGUUAGUUUUUAUUUCGGAUCUAAUUCUUCUUUGUUGUCUAUCACUUAAUUGAUGCCACCUUUUUCGCGAAAUAGAGCGUUUUAGUAAAUAAGGUUUUAUACUUAUCUGGUGUUAUUUCUCGCUGUUGUCCAAGUAGCUAUUUUCUCUCCGAUGAAGAGUGUAUAAUAUUUCUUGCUGUAGUCUAAAUAUUCUGUCUCACCAAAUAAGAAAUCUGAAAAAUUUUUUAAUUUCUAAAUUUUUAAUAGACAAAAUAUUCGCACACCAAGAUAAAAUUUUUGAGACCGUUGUCAAGGGCAAAAAAUUGGCAUCUGUUUUAAAUAAUUACUAUCGCAUAGCAAUACAGCUCGUUUUAUUGUUUUAUAAAUGCUAGCAAAUGUAAAAAA
Molecule: non-coding RNA, 1222 nt
Organism: Linepithema humile (Argentine ant)
Lineage: Eukaryota; Metazoa; Arthropoda; Insecta; Hymenoptera; Formicidae
Source: RefSeq, a predicted model, not a curated record